RNAcentral lists this unclassified non-coding RNA (39 nucleotides) under Mus musculus (house mouse). RNAcentral describes it as "partial probably derived from hnRNA or mRNA fragment, protein coding region". The record is from RNAcentral. Lineage: Eukaryota; Metazoa; Chordata; Mammalia; Rodentia; Muridae.
AUGAGCCCUUGCUAUUGGAGAUCCUCGUGGAAGUGAUGG